GAUGAACGCUGGCGGCAUGCUUAACACAUGCCAGUCGGACGGGAAGUGGUGUUUCCAGUGGCGUACGGGUGAGUAACGCGUAAGAACCUGCCCUUGGGAGGGGAACAACAACUUGAAACGGUUGCUAAUACCCCGUAGGCUGAGGAGCAAAAGGAGCAAUCCGCCCGAGGAGGGGCUUGCGUCUGAUUAGCUAGUUGGUUAGGUAAUAGCUUACCAAGGCGAUGAUCAGUAGCUGGUCCGAGAGGAUGACCAGCCACACUGGGACUGAGACACGGACCAGACUACUACGGGAGGCAGCAGUGGGGAAUUUUCAGCAAUGGGGGAUAGCCUGACGGGGCAAUGCCGUGUGGAGGUAGAAGGCCCACGGGUCGUGAACUUCUUUUUUCGGAGCAGAAACAAUGACGGUAUCUGAGGAAUAAGCAUCGGCUAACUCUGUG
Molecule: ribosomal RNA, 437 nt
Filed under: uncultured bacterium
Lineage: Bacteria
Description: partial 16S ribosomal RNA
Rfam family: Bacterial small subunit ribosomal RNA
Source: RNAcentral